RNAcentral lists this ribosomal RNA (301 nucleotides) under uncultured bacterium. RNAcentral's name for it is "partial 16S ribosomal RNA". It matches the Rfam family "Bacterial small subunit ribosomal RNA", at positions 509 to 807 of the family's 1533-position model. The record is from RNAcentral.
CAGCCGCCGCGGUAAUACGGAGGGUGCAAGCGUUAAUCGGAAUUACUGGGCGUAAAGCGCACGCAGGCGGUUUGUUAAGUCAGAUGUGAAAUCCCCGAGCUUAACUUGGGAACUGCAUUUGAAACUGGCAAGCUAGAGUCUUGUAGAGGGGGGUAGAAUUCCAGGUGUAGCGGUGAAAUGCGUAGAGAUCUGGAGGAAUACCGGUGGCGAAGGCGGCCCCCUGGACAAAGACUGACGCUCAGGUGCGAAAGCGUGGGGAGCAAACAGGAUUAGAUACCCCCGUAGUCCCUGUUUCUUAUAC